RNA transcript from Abrus precatorius (Indian licorice), 2384 nucleotides. It is a transcript of the gene named rRNA-processing protein EFG1-like, with no coding region annotated. The record is from RefSeq and is a predicted model, not a curated record. The transcript has 8 exons. Lineage: Eukaryota; Viridiplantae; Streptophyta; Magnoliopsida; Fabales; Fabaceae.
CCGUUUGUGUCGUAGUGUUAGAUGAGACCCGAGGCGACAAGAAGAAGAAGAAGAGUAGGAAAUCUGAAUAAGAGAAGACCUAAUUAAAUAUAAUAAUAAAAAAAGCAUUAAGAGAGUGAUGGCUCACGGUGCUUACAACAAGCGGCGCGUGAGGCUCAAUCCCACAAGCCGUCGAUCCAACUCCAAGCCUUUGGGCAUCGCCAAGAAACCCAAGCCCUCCGUUUCACUCAAAAACCAGAUUCGAUCCAUAGAGCGCAUACUCAGAAAGAAUCUGCAACCGGAGGUGAGAGAGGCGCAAGAACAUAAGUUGGAAGCUCUGAAGAAGCAGCAAGAGAUUCACACGCGCCUUGCCGCCGAACGCAAGAUAUUCUUACGUGACCGAAAGAUUAAGUUCUUCGAGAGGAGGAAAAUAGAAAGAAGAAUCAGACGCCUCGAGAAACUGCAGCGUGCUUCUUCUUCUUCCUCCUCACAACCUCAUUCUGAUCAGCUUUCCGCUCUUAAACAAGAUCUUCAAUAUGUUAUGUACUUUCCCAAGAAUGAGAAGUAUGUUCCCUUGUUCACUGGGGGUGAUGAUUCAGAGAUAGUUGACAGGAGAAAUGGGCUGCGCAAACAGAUUGAAGCCAGGUUAAUUGCAGCUGCUGCAAGUGGCAAGGAUUUAGAAGAGACUGGCAGUGAGGAUGAUGGCCUUUUGGAUCUAAGUGAUGAUGAUUUUUUCCUUGCUGGAAGUUCUAGUGAUGAAGCAGAUGCAGAUGAUGAAUGGACAGACAAAAGCACAAGAGAGCAGGCUUCUAGUGCUUCUGGGAAAGCCGUGUCUGGCAUGUCCAGUGAUGAAAAAAAUCAGAGGCAGAUUUCCGCUAGAGCUUUGAUGCCCCCUCCUCGCCCGUCAAACAAGAUGCUGUCAAGGUUUGGGUCAUCUUCUGGCCAAAAUUCAUCUGUACAGAGAUCUGAAAUUUCCACAUCUAGCAACACAUCAAAUAGCAAAAGCAGCUCAGACUUCAAAAUACGGGGACCCUCAAGAUCAGGGACUGGUCAUGGUAGUAGUCUAAGCUCCAACUCUGAUGCUCACAAGCCUCGGAGGAAGAGAAGACCUAAGAAGAAAAAGAAGCAGGUCCAUACCUAAUGCUGCGUGGUAUAGGAGUUGAAGCAGGAUUCACGAUUCCAAGGCCCAUUUAUUUGUGCGUUUUUUCUUCUAGAACAAAAAAAUACCUUUAAUAAUGUUUAAAAAUUUUAAGAGAGCGUGUUUUGGGGAUACAAGCUAAGAUAGAAAAAAGCAGUUUAAUUGUUUUUAAUAAACUUAGCAGAUAGCUUACGAAAAAAAGAGCAAUAAGAAAAAGUGACAUCAGAAAAACACCUUUUUUAAGUUUAUCAUUGCACCUUUGAGUUACGACCAAAACUAUUGAGCUUUAGUUCUAUUAACUCAUUUCACUGCCACUGCAAGUUUCCCAGCUUCCUCUUGUCGCUCAUUAUGACAGAGUGGUCAUUGAGGCCUGGAAUUGCAGCUAAUUUGUGGCUACUGUUUCGCCAUUCCGGGGGAUGAAAACCCUGCUUUGUCAGUCUUUCUGUCAUGCCCCUUUGAUAAAAACCCACUGCCCCACCUCUGCUUUGAACUUCCAGUUGAAAAACCCUCCUUCUUGCUACACCCCAGUGAUGAUCUUGCUAUCUUUCAGUGACCCAGUAGUUUUCAGGCCAAGUCCCACUUGUCCGACUGGCUGCUUGGUGGCAUUUUUUGAUCAGGCCAAGCCUGGCAUUUUAUGGCAACCCACUGAUAGCUGAAUACUCUGUUGAUUCAUUUUAGCUAUGACAAUACUUGUUUUCAGCUUCUUAUCUGACACAGAUCUGAUUCAAACAUGCCUCUGUUUUUGUUCUUUCUUUCUUUUGUGUUGUAUGAAUCACAGUUCACAAUCACUAAUUUGUCACACGAUUGCUUUCUUCAUUUUUUUGGCUCUCUAUAUUAGUUUGUUGUUUCCCCCUUUUUUCACUUCACUCUUCUCUGUAUUCCUUUUCUCCCUUGUUCCCCUUGACUUUUGCUGUUAUUGACUUGUUAGUUAUGCUCUACAUUGCUGGCAAAUUGGGGAUUGCGUUUAAACUGUGACUCCUGUCAUGAUGGCUAAACUAAGCAUUGCUAUUAGCAAUUGGAUUUAGCUUCUUCACAUUCAUUCGAGAUUCUUACAGUUGUCUUACCUGGAUGGGUCAUGUUCUACUGCGGACCUGCUGGGAGCCUAUUUUACUGGUCAAUAUGAUGAUAUAUAUGUACUGACUUGUUAGGUUAGAUUGAGAAUUCGUUAUUGUUGGUUAACUUUUCACUGUGGAUUCUUCAUAUUUAACCGUCGCUUACUGUAAAUUAUUUUGAAUUCUGAUUUGUUUACGCGGGUUAAUAUUUUCCC